Fundulus heteroclitus (mummichog) is the source of this 1032-nucleotide long non-coding RNA. RefSeq lists it as uncharacterized. The transcript is spliced from 5 exons. The record is from RefSeq and is a predicted model, not a curated record. Lineage: Eukaryota; Metazoa; Chordata; Actinopteri; Cyprinodontiformes; Fundulidae.
AAGGCUGACGCGGACCUCACGUUUCUGCUGAUGCGAUUUUAUAAGCAAUGGCAAGUCACAUCAACGCCAAGCAAGGCACACCCUUGACCUUCAGAGCCACCAGUGUCCAGUAUCACUGAGGAAUCGGAUCGUGAUCUCAUUGUUGCUGAACCGGGUGUCCAGACACUGUCUGCAGGGGGAGAAGUAGGAGAUUUGGAAUCAAGCAUGCACUCUCUGAGCAUUGCUGAAGAACACCGCCCAGACUCUCCAGACAAAGAAGAUACCAAUGACCUGCGGAACACUGUCAUUGAGAUGGAUGACCUUUGGGCCGAUCCAAGUAAAAUGGGCUUGGAAGAUGGAGACAGCUCAGAUGAGGAUUUUGUCCCUUCUAUUCACCUACGGUAUAUUUGUAUUGUGAAUUUAUUAUUUUCUGGGUGAAUUUAUUAAUAUGCUUAGGCAUUUUUCAAACACGACACCUUGACUUGAGACUGCCACAGCAACAGUGCAGUUAUGUUGAUGCUUGGGGUAGCAUGCCCGGGUUCCCCACCAUUUCAAGUGACUAAUAAUUUUGGAAUUUGUAGGUUAGUAGAUGACACUUCACCCCACCCCCCACACACUUCUUUUGAGUCCCUUGCCCCAUUUCACACAUGGGGACAUGGUAGCCAGUAAAUGUGUGAAGACUCUUACAAGUCUGCUGGUAGAAAAGUUAUGUACUUGUGUGAAUUUGCAUGUGUUGAUUUUGUAAAUGUCUAUUUUUUAUUUUUAUAUGUGGUGCUACUUUCUUUACAUCAGUUAUGCCCCUUCGGACACUCCUUGUGGAAGUGAAAUUCUCAGCCGACCCUGAGGUUUGGUAUGCAGGGUGGUGACUUCAUGCUGUCUGCCAACAUUCUCUUGUCUGGCAACAACUACAGGAAAGUAGCCUUGCUGUUCAAGUUUAUGGCGAUGGGGAUGGUCUCAGAGUCAACUUUCUUCAGGAUACAAGAUUCAAUUCAAUUCAAUUCAAUUUUAUUUAUAUAGCGCCAAAUCAUGAAACAUGUCAUCUCAAGGCACUUU